CCUACGGGAGGCAGCAGUGGGGAAUUUUGGACAAUGGGCGCAAGCCUGAUCCAGCAAUGCCGCGUGCAGGAUGAAGGCCUUCGGGUUGUAAACUGCUUUUGUACGGAACGAAACGGUGAGCUCUAAUACAGUUUGCUAAUGACGGUACCGUAAGAAUAAGCACCGGCUAACUACGUGCCAGCAGCCGCGGUAAUACGUAGGGUGCGAGCGUUAAUCGGAAUUACUGGGCGUAAAGCGUGCGCAGGCGGUGAUGUAAGACAGAUGUGAAAUCCCCGGGCUCAACCUGGGACCUGCAUUUGUGACUGCAUCGCUAGAGUACGGUAGAGGGGGAUGGAAUUCCGCGUGUAGCAGUGAAAUGCGUAGAUAUGCGGAGGAACACCGAUGGCGAAGGCAAUCCCCUGGACCUGUACUGACGCUCAUGCACGAACGACGGUGGGGAGGACGAACAGGAGUAGUAUACCGUACGGUAGUACCGACCGACCCGUAACCGACUGUCACUGGUUGGUUGGUCGUUCUACU
This 519-nucleotide ribosomal RNA is filed under the name uncultured bacterium. Its description in RNAcentral is "bacterial SSU rRNA". It matches the Rfam family "Bacterial small subunit ribosomal RNA", at positions 338 to 837 of the family's 1533-position model. The record is from RNAcentral.